Molecule: ribosomal RNA, 264 nt
Filed under: uncultured bacterium
Lineage: Bacteria
Description: partial 16S ribosomal RNA
Source: RNAcentral
CUGCUGCCUCCCGUAGGAGUUUGGACCGUGUCUCAGUUCCAAUGUGGGGGACCUUCCUCUCAGAACCCCUAUCCAUCGUCGUCUUGGUGGGCCGUUACCCCGCCAACUAACUAAUGGAACGCAUCCCCAUCGAUAACCGAAAUUCUUUAAUAUCAAGAUCAUGCGAUCUUGAUAUGCUAUCGGAUAUUAAUCUUUCUUUCGAAAGGCUAUCCCCGAGUUAUCGGCAGGUUGGAUACGUGUUACUCACCCGUGCGCCGGUCGCCA